This 411-nucleotide ribosomal RNA is filed under the name uncultured Gemmata sp. RNAcentral describes it as "bacterial SSU rRNA". It matches the Rfam family "Bacterial small subunit ribosomal RNA", at positions 353 to 772 of the family's 1533-position model. The record is from RNAcentral. Lineage: Bacteria; Pseudomonadati; Planctomycetota; Planctomycetia; Gemmatales; Gemmataceae.
AGUCGAGGAUCUUCGGCAAUGCGCGCAAGCGCGACCGAGCGACGCCGCGUGGGCGAUGAAGGCCUUCGGGUUGUAAAGCCCUGUCGAGGGGGAGAAAAGGGUCAAACUUUGAUCUAUCCCUGGAGGAAGCUCGGGCUAAGUUCGUGCCAGCAGCCGCGGUAAGACGAACCGAGCGAACGUUGUUCGGAAUCACUGGGCUUAAAGGGUGCGUAGGCGGGCUGCCAAGUUUGAGGUGAAAUCCUCCGGCUCAACCGGGGAAGUGCCUUGAAUACUGGCGGUCUGGAGGGAGGUAGGGGCGUGCGGAACUAACGGUGGAGCGGUGAAAUGCGUUGAUAUCGUUAGGAACUCCGGUGGCGAAGGCGGCACGCUGGACCUUUACUGACGCUGAGGCACGAAAGCCAGGGGAGCGAA